CCUACGGGUGGCAGCAGUAGGGAAUAUUGCUCAAUGGGGGAAACCCUGAAGCAGCAACGCCGCGUGGAGGAUGAAGGUUUUCGGAUUGUAAACUCCUUUUGUUAGAGAAGAUAAUGACGGUAUCUAACGAAUAAGCACCGGCUAACUCCGUGCCAGCAGCCGCGGUAAUACGGAGGGUGCAAGCGUUACUCGGAAUCACUGGGCGUAAAGAGGGCGUAGGCGGGAUAGCAAGUCAGAUGUGAAAUCCUAUGGCUUAACCAUAGUACUGCAUUUGAAACUGUUAUUCUAGAGUAUGGGAGAGGUAUGUGGAAUGCUUGGUGUAGGGGUAAAAUCCGUAGAGAUCAAGAGGAAUACUCAUUGCGAAGGCGACCUGCUAGAACAUAACUGACGCUGAUGCGCGAAAGCGUGGGUAGCAAACAGGAUUAGAUACCCUAGUAGUC
RNAcentral lists this ribosomal RNA (440 nucleotides) under uncultured bacterium. RNAcentral's name for it is "partial 16S ribosomal RNA". It matches the Rfam family "Bacterial small subunit ribosomal RNA", at positions 338 to 795 of the family's 1533-position model. The record is from RNAcentral.